UGUUUUUUGUAUGGUGUUCUUUAAUUUGAUUAUUAUGAAGAUGAAAGAGAACCGUUAGAACGGGUAUGAAGGGUGUUCUAGGGGUGCUUUUCGGUGCUCUUUCACGUGGACAUAUCGCAGCAUGCGACAUGUCAGCGGAACACUGUCUAAAUUAAUAAAUACUGUUUUGGCCGAUUUCUAAAAGCGUCUAUAAAAGGGCAUAAGUGCAAUGACUCGUCUUUGUAACCCUGCGGCCUAGGCGUAGUUUUUCACGGGGAAUCCGAAUAUCAAAGGUAGAUUUAUGUACAACAUGUACUUUUUUUGCAACAUGUACUUUUUAUCUACGGGACAUAGACAUAUGUAAAAACACACGGCGGAGCCGUUCCCGCAGUCAGAAUUUGUCUAACUCUUCUAGAUCAAAAGUUAUUCAGCGAAAUGUGAGACUUUGUUUGGCAUGCUCUUUUUUUUAGGUGGUUUUUUCCCGGUUUUAUGUGCCGCCCGGCAGAUCUGGCCUGCAGACUUUAGCAGAAAACUUGGCGCAUGUGUUCGCACGACCGCUCCCAAAGUUUUUACAAGCAUAUCUCCAGUAGUUGCUUCGCAAUGAUUUUUUUAGUGACGCCAAAAAACGCCAUUUUCGCGGAAAAUGGACACCUUGGACGGCCAAAAUCACCACUUUUGGCCAUGUUUGGCCCUGCACAUCCAGGAAGCAAAUGAGACUGCUCCGUAUAAAAACUGCCCUAGGGGUGCUUUUAUGCGCGCAUUCCCGUGGUCAAGUCAGAUUUUGGCUAAAUUCAAAUGCCUUGUCUAUAAACACUUUUUUCGACCUAAAUUUUCACCUGUUUUGUCCCGAAAUGAUAGCACCCAUUCUUUAUUUGCCUAUAUAUCGCGAAGGAGGCAACUUUUUUCCUGUUAAGUAUAGAUAAAAAAUUUAAUUCGGCGUUUUAGCGCACGAGGAACAAAAGUCUCCAUACAAGCUACCCUCGGUUUCUAAUGACUUUUUGAGUUAGGGAAGCGUGGAUCUUCUUUUUUUCUUGUUUCCAGGACUUCACAUGAACUUCCAACUCAACUCGAAUUGUCAUCCCGGGCCCACCACGCAUCGAAACGACACUUUUCUCGGAACUGGCGAAUAAAAAAUAGGUCACCAGAUGCGCAAGAGUCUGGGAUGACAGAAUAUCAAAACAAUAACAGAAUCGUUAGUACUUUUUUUGUCACCAGCGCCCUUUUUCUGUUUUCGCGUACAUAAUCGAGCAUAACUUUAUCAAUUUAUACCAUAUCGACCGAUAUCGAUUGUCACGAUAGUGUACUUUUUUUAGGCGCACAUGAUGGUAAAAAGAACGGCCACCUAUUCCCAGCCGUUCUUAAGCUAUGCUCUUUUAAAGAUUUUACUUUAGAGAUGACACACCCUCUCAUUUCACUCCAUUACAUGCUCUUUUUGCUGAAUUACGUGGCACAGACGCAGAAAAUCAUGGUUCGCAAGUCGAACAUUUUUGAAGAGCGCAUCGAAACGGACAUUUUCUUAAAAUAACAUGGUAUACAAAAAGUGCGUUCUUGAGCCUGUAGCAAACGAUUUGCAUCCAUGACAUCCCAAAAACUUAAAAUAACAUAUCUCGACUCCUAGAAUGAAAUCGACGUGAAUCCUUAGGGCAGUUAGUGUGUUUUAGUAUCAUACUUAACACCACAAAGUUUUACGGGGCACUCUACAAUACUCUUCCCAAGACGCAAGAAAAUGUUCAUUUNNNNNNNNNNNNNNNNNNNNNNNNNNNNNNNNNNNNNNNNNNNNNNNNNNNNNNNNNNNNNNNNNNNNNNNNNNNNNNNNNNNNNNNNNNNNNNNNNNNNGUUGACACCGGCUCAGAACUGGAGCGGACAAGGGGAAUCCGACUGUUUAAUUAAAACAAAGCAUUGUGAUGGCCGGAGACGGUGUUGACACAAUGUGAUUUCUGCCCAGUGCUCUGAAUGUCAAAGUGAAGAGAUUCAACCAAGCGCGGGUAAACGGCGGGAGUAACUAUGACUCUCUUAAGGUAGCCAAAUGCCUCGUCAUCUAACUAGUGACGCGCAUGAAUGGAUUAAUGAGAUUCCCACUGUCCCUAUCUACUGUCUAGCGAACCCACAGCCAAGGGAACGGGCUUGGAAUAAUCAGCGGGGAAAGAAGACCCUGUUGAGCUUGACUCUAGUCUGACGUUGUGAAAUGACUUGGGAGGUGUAGAAUAAGUGGGAGGCUCUGCCGUCUGUGAAAUACCACUACUCUCAAUGUUGUUUUACUUAUACCAUGAUGUAGCAUCUGUGUGGCCUCGCGGUCGCUCAGUUCUAGUUGUAAACUUGGGCUUUUGCCUGGGUGAGCUACCUGGAAGACAUCGUCAGGUGGGGAGUUUGGCUGGGGCGGCACAUCUGUUAAAUGAUAACACAGGUGUCCUAAGGUGAGCUCAAUGAGAACAGAAAUCUCAUGUAGAACAAAAGGGUAAAAGCUCACUUGAUUUUGAUUUUCAGUAUGAAUACAAACCGUGAAAGCGUGGCCUAUCGAUCCUUUAGUUCUUUUGAAUUUUAAGCUAGAGGUGUCAGAAAAGUUACCACAGGGAUAACUGGCUUGUGGCAGCCAAGCGUCCAUAGCGACGUUGCUUUUUGAUUCUUCGAUGUCGGCUCUUCCUAUCAUUGCGAAGUAGAACUCGCCAAUUGUUGGAUUGUUCACCCACUAAUAGGGAACGUGAGCUGGGUUUAGACCGUCGUGAGACAGUUUGGUAUAUACACCCCCUGAGAAUCAGUGGGGUGUCGAAGUGGAGAGGGAGGCCGCCCAUCAGGAUCUAGUUACGUUGAACCGACUAGAUGAGGUGGUGGUGGUUGGAUCCGCGAAAAGGACAGUCCAGGUAAUGGCUGUCACUAGGUCCAGAGGAAGGAUUGAAUCUAGCCCCCAGUUGCUCGAUGAAACAUUUGUGAAGGGAGUCCGCAUUGAGCGGAUCCUCAAAGCACAGAACGAAGAAGCGUGGAUCUUGA
This 2964-nucleotide ribosomal RNA is filed under the name Phytophthora infestans T30-4. RNAcentral's name for it is "28s_rRNA". The stretch from base 1595 to 2734 matches the Rfam family "Eukaryotic large subunit ribosomal RNA", at positions 1891 to 3399 of the family's 3401-position model. Lineage: Eukaryota; Oomycota; Peronosporomycetes; Peronosporales; Peronosporaceae. The record is from RNAcentral.